AGAAUGCGCGCACUUUCGGGUGACCGGCCGGGACUUCCUCCCGCCGGUUGAAACGGGAAGCCGGUGCCGCGCAUUGCUGGAGUUCCAGCCAUCCGCCAGUCCGGCGCUGCCCCCGCAACGGUGAGCAGGACAGCCCAGACACACCGCCACUGUGCAUCGCAUGGGAAGGCGUCUGGGCGGAAGCGGCCACGGCCGCUUCGCCUGCAAGCCCGGAGACCGGCCCGGAAGCCGACUGGUUGC
This 240-nucleotide non-coding RNA is filed under the name uncultured Stenotrophomonas sp. Lineage: Bacteria; Pseudomonadati; Pseudomonadota; Gammaproteobacteria; Lysobacterales; Lysobacteraceae. The record is from RNAcentral.